AGGCCAGACUCCUACGGGAGGCAGCAGUGGGGAAUAUUGCACAAUGGGGGAAACCCUGAUGCAGCGACGCCGCGUGAGCGAUGAAGUAUUUCGGUAUGUAAAUCUCUAUCAGCAGGGAAGAAAGAAAUGACGGUACCUGACUAAGAAGCCCCGGCUAACUACGUGCCAGCAGCCGCGGUAAUACGUAGGGGGCAAGCGUUAUCCGGAUUUACUGGGUGUAAAGGGAGCGUAGACGGCAGUGCAAGUCUGAAGUGAAAGGCGGGGGCCCAACCCCCGGACUGCUUUGGAAACUGUAUAGCUGGAGUGCAGGAGAGGGAAGUGGAAUUCCUAGUGUAGCGGUGAAAUGCGUAGAUAUCAGGAGGAACACCGGUGGCGAAGGCGGCCUGCUGGACUGCGACUGACGUUGAGGCCCGAAAGCGUGGGGAGCAAACAGGAUUAGAUACCCGAGUACCC
RNAcentral lists this ribosomal RNA (453 nucleotides) under uncultured bacterium. Its description in RNAcentral is "bacterial SSU rRNA". It matches the Rfam family "Bacterial small subunit ribosomal RNA", at positions 328 to 795 of the family's 1533-position model. The record is from RNAcentral.